CUUGUUUUAAAGGAGAACAGAUAAGCCAGUUUAACCUGAUUGACGCACCUUCUCGAAGCUCCCUAUUACAAAAACUAAAAUCCUCCGGCGUCGCGGCGUCACCGUCCUAUCAAGGAACGCCACCAUCGAAGCCCCUAGCCACCGUCGGAGUAGCGGUUUUGUGAGUGUGUUUGGUGUUGUUAGUUGGAUGCAAAUAAGAGAUGCCACCAAAGCAACAGUCAAAAGUCGAUAUAGCGAAGAAGCAGAAGAUCGUCGAAGACAAGACCUUCGGGCUCAAGAACAAAAACAAGAGCAAGAAUGUACAGAAAUAUGUACAGAGUCUCAAGCAAUCUGUACAGCCCAAACCCGACCCUACUAAGGUCGCAGCUAAGAAGAAGAAAGAGGAAGACAAGGCCAAAGAGAAGGAGCUGAACGAUUUGUUCAAGGUUGCUGUUAGCCAGCCCAAAGUUCCUAUUGGUGUUGAUCCCAAGUCUAUAUUGUGCGA
Molecule: unclassified non-coding RNA, 484 nt
Filed under: Hevea brasiliensis (rubber tree)
Lineage: Eukaryota; Viridiplantae; Streptophyta; Magnoliopsida; Malpighiales; Euphorbiaceae
Source: RNAcentral